This 253-nucleotide ribosomal RNA is filed under the name uncultured bacterium. RNAcentral's name for it is "partial 16S ribosomal RNA". It matches the Rfam family "Bacterial small subunit ribosomal RNA", at positions 524 to 776 of the family's 1533-position model. The record is from RNAcentral.
UACGUAGGGUGCAAGCGUUGUCCGGAAUUAUUGGGCGUAAAGGGCGUGUAGGCGGCUUCGUAAGUCUUGUGUGAAAGCCCUCGGCUCAACCGAGGAAUUGCACGAGAAACUGCGUGGCUCGAGUCCGGGAGAGGAUAGUGGAAUUCCCAGUGUAGCGGUGAAAUGCGUAGAUAUUGGGAGGAACACCGGUGGCGAAGGCGGCUAUCUGGACCGGUACUGACGCUGAUACGCGAAAGCCAGGGGAGCAAACGGG